RNAcentral lists this ribosomal RNA (372 nucleotides) under uncultured organism. RNAcentral's name for it is "bacterial SSU rRNA". It matches the Rfam family "Bacterial small subunit ribosomal RNA", at positions 526 to 896 of the family's 1533-position model. The record is from RNAcentral.
CGUAGGGGGCAAGCGUUGUCCGGAUUUAUUGGGCGUAAAGAGCGUGUAGGCGGCUGGGUAGGUCCGUUGUGAAAACUCGAGGCUCAACCUCGAGACGCCGAUGGAAACCCUCCAGCUAGAGUCCGGAAGAGGAGAGUGGAAUUCCUGGUGUAGCGGUGGAAUGCGCAGAUAUCAGGAAGAACACCCGUGGCUAAGGCGGCUCUCUAGUACGGUACUGACGCUGAGACGCGAAAGCGUGGGGAGCGAACAGGAUUAGAUACCCUGGUAGUCCACGCCGUAAACGAUGGGUGCUAGGUGUAGGGGGUGUCGACUCCCUCUGUGCCGAAGCUAACGCAUUAAGCACCCCGCCUGGGGAGUACGGCCGCAAGGCUA